AGGGCCACGUGUCGGAUUUAUUGGGCGUAAGGGCUCGUAGGUGGUUGAUCGCGUCGGAAGUGUAAUCUUGGGGCUUAACCCUGAGCGUGCUUUCGAUACGGGUUGACUUGAGGAAGGUAGGGGAGAAUGGAAUUCCUGGUGGAGCGGUGGAAUGCGCAGAUAUCAGGAGGAACACCAGUGGCGAAGGCGGUUCUCUGGGCCUUUCCUGACGCUGAGGAGCGAAAGCGUGGGGAGCGAACAGGCUUAGAUACCCUGGUAGUCCACGCUGUAAACGGUGGGUACUAGGUGUGGGGUCCAUUCCACGGGUUCCGUGCCGUAGCUAACGCUUUAAGUACCCCGCCUGGGGAGUACGGCCGCAAGGCUAAAACUCAAAGGAAUUGACGGGGCCCCGCACAGGCGGCGGAGCAUGCGGAUUAAUUCGAUGCAACGCGUAGAACCUUACCUGGGUUUGACAUGGAUCGGGAGUGCUCAGAGAUGGGUGUGCCUCUUUUGGGGUCGGUUCACAGGUGGUGCAUGCCUGUCGUCAGCUCGUGUCGUGAGAUGUUGGGUUAAGUCCCGCAACGAGCGCAACCCUUGUUCACUGUUGCCAGCACGUUAUGGUGGGGACUCAGUGGAGACCGCCGGGGUCAACUCGGAGGAAGGUGGGGAUGACGUCAAGUCCUCAUGCCCCUUAUGUCCAGGGCUUCACGCAUGCUACAAUGGCUGGUACAGAGAGUGGCGAGCCUGUGAGGGUGAGCGAAUCUCGGAAAGCCGGUCUCAGUUCGGAUUGGGGUCUGCAACUCGACCUCAUGAAGUCGGAGUCGCUAGUAAUCGCAGAUCAGCAACGCUGCGGUGAAUACGUUCCCGGGGCUUGUACACACCGCCCGUCAAGUCAUGAAAGUUGGUAACACCCGAAGCCGGUGGCCUAACCGUUGUGGGGAGCCGUCGAAUGUGGGACUGGUGAUUAGACU
This 950-nucleotide ribosomal RNA is filed under the name uncultured bacterium. RNAcentral describes it as "bacterial SSU rRNA". It matches the Rfam family "Bacterial small subunit ribosomal RNA", at positions 530 to 1482 of the family's 1533-position model. The record is from RNAcentral.